AUUGAACGCUGGCGGCAUGCUUUACACAUGCAAGUCGAACGGUAACAGGCCGCAAGGUGCUGACGAGUGGCGAACGGGUGAGUAAUGCAUCGGAACGUGCCCAGUCGUGGGGGAUAACUACUCGAAAGAGUAGCUAAUACCGCAUACGAUCUAUGGAUGAAAGCGGGGGACCGUAAGGCCUCGCGCGAUUGGAGCGGCCGAUGUCAGAUUAGGUAGUUGGUGGGGUAAAGGCUCACCAAGCCAACGAUCUGUAGCUGGUCUGAGAGGACGACCAGCCACACUGGGACUGAGACACGGCCCAGACUCCUACGGGAGGCAGCAGUGGGGAAUUUUGGACAAUGGGCGCAAGCCUGAUCCAGAAUGCCGCGUGCAGGAAGAAGGCCUUCGGGUUGUAAACUGCUUUUGUACGGAACGAAACGGCUCUGGUUAAUACCCGGGGCUAAUGACGGUACCGUAAGAAUAAGCACCGGCUAACUACGUG
This 481-nucleotide ribosomal RNA is filed under the name uncultured bacterium. Its description in RNAcentral is "partial 16S ribosomal RNA". It matches the Rfam family "Bacterial small subunit ribosomal RNA", at positions 30 to 507 of the family's 1533-position model. The record is from RNAcentral.